GAAAUGCGAUAAGUAAUGUGAAUUGCAGAAUUCCGUGAAUCAUCGAAUCUUUGAACGCACAUUGCGCCCUCUGGUAUUCCGGGGGGCAUGCCUGUCCGAGCGUCAUUGCACACCCUCAAGCGCGGCUUGUGUGUUGGGCCCCCGCGUCCUUGCCUCUUAAAGGACGGGCCCAAAAGGCAGUGGCGGCACCAUGUCUGGUCCUCGAGCGUAUGGGGCUUUGUCACCCGCUCCCGUAGGUCCAGCUGGCAGCUAGCCUCGCAACCAAUCUUUUUAACCAGGUUGACCUCGGAUCAGGUAGGGAUACCCGCUGAACUUAAGC
This 319-nucleotide unclassified non-coding RNA is filed under the name plant metagenome. RNAcentral describes it as "partial contains 5.8S ribosomal RNA, internal transcribed spacer 2, and large subunit ribosomal RNA". The stretch from base 1 to 105 matches the Rfam family "5.8S ribosomal RNA", at positions 50 to 154 of the family's 154-position model. The record is from RNAcentral.